GACGAACGCUGGCGGCGUGCCUAAUACAUGCAAGUAGAACGCUGAGGACUGGUGCUUGCACUGGUCUAAGGAGUUGCGAACGGGUGAGUAACGCGUAGGUAACCUACCUCAUAGCGGGGGGAUAACUAUUGGAAACGACUGCUAAUACCGCAUAAGCCCACGACCCGGCAUCGGGUUGAGGGAAAAGGAGCAAUCCGCUUUGAGAUGGCCUCGCGUCCGAUUAGCUGGUUGGUGAGGUAACGGCCCACCAAGGCGACGAUCGGUAGCCGGACUGAGAGGUUGAACGGCCACAUUGGGACUGAGACACGGCCCAG
Molecule: ribosomal RNA, 314 nt
Filed under: uncultured bacterium
Lineage: Bacteria
Description: bacterial SSU rRNA
Rfam family: Bacterial small subunit ribosomal RNA
Source: RNAcentral